AUCGCUGGGAACUUCAGUCUGUUCAGAAAGCUGCAAGCAGGGACUUUCUUUCCAGACUGAAAAAUAAACCAUUAGUGAUGUUGAAAUGCUGAUCAUGAU
Non-coding RNA from Chelonoidis abingdonii (Abingdon island giant tortoise), 99 nucleotides. The record is from RefSeq and is a predicted model, not a curated record. NCBI's taxonomy places the organism in Eukaryota, Metazoa, Chordata, Testudines, Testudinidae.